UGAUUUUAUGCUUGCAUAAAUGAUUUUUGGAUUCGGAGCGAGUGGCGAACUGGUGAGUAACACGUGGGUAACCUGCCCCGAAGCGGGGGAUAACAUUUGGAAACAAGUGCUAAUACCGCAUAAUUAGUUGGAACCGCAUGGUUCCAACUUGAAAGAUGGCUCUGCUAUCACUUUGGGAUGGACCCGCGCCGUAUUAGUUAGUUGGUGAGAUAAAAGCCCACCAAGACGAUGAUACGUAGCCGACCUGAGAGGGUAAUCGGCCACAUUGGGACUGAGACACGGCCCAGACUCCUACGGGAGGCAGCAGUAGGGAAUCUUCCACAAUGGACGAAAGUCUGAUGGAGCAACGCCGCGUGAGUGAUGAAGGUUUUCGGAUCGUAAAACUCUGUUGUUAAAGAAGAACAAGUGUUAGAGUAACUGUUAACACUUUGACGGUAUUUAACCAGAAAGCCACGGCUAACUACGUGCCAGCAGCCGCGGUAAUACGUAGGUGGCAAGCGUUGUCCGGAUUUAUUGGGCGUAAAGCGAGCGCAGGCGGUUUUGUAAGUCUGCUGUGAAAGCCCUCAGCUCAACUGAGGAAGUGCAGUGGAAACUACAAAACUUGAGUACAGAAGAGGAAAGUGGAACUCCAUGUGUAGCGGUGAAAUGCGUAGAUAUAUGGAAGAACACCAGUGGCGAAGGCGGCUUUCUGGUCUGUUACUGACGCUGAGGCUCGAAAGCAUGGGUAGCGAACAGGAUUAGAUACCCUGGUAGUCCAUGCCGUAAACGAUGAAUACUAGGUGUUUGGAGGGUUUCCGCCCUUCAGUGCCGCAGCUAACGCAUUAAGUAUUCCGCCUGGGGGAGUACGACCGCAAGGUUGAAACUCAAAGGAAUUGACGGGGGCCCGCACAAGUGGUGGAAGCAUGUGGUUUAAUUCGAUGCUACGCGAAGAACCUUACCAGCUCUUGACAUCUUCUGCCAACCCAAGAAGAUUGGGCGUUCCCUUCGGGGACAGAAUGACAGGUGGUGCAUGGUUGUCGUCAGCUCGUGUCGUGAGAUGUUGGGUUAAGUCCCGCAACGAGCGCAACCCUUAUUAUUAGUUGCCAGCAUUUAGUUGGGCACUCUAGUGAGACUGCCGGUGAUAAACCGGAGGAAGGUGGGGACGACGUCAAAUCAUCAUGCCCCUUAUGAGCUGGGCUACACACGUGCUACAAUGGAUGGUACAACGAGUCGCGAAACCGCGAGGUCAAGCUAAUCUCUUAAAGCCAUUCUCAGUUCGGAUUGCAGGCUGCAACUCGCCUGCAUGAAGUUGGAAUCACUAGUAAUCGUGGAUCAGCAUGCCACGGUGAAUACGUUCCCGGGCCUUGUACACACCGCCCGUCACACCAUGAGAGUUUGUAACACCCAAAGA
This 1390-nucleotide ribosomal RNA is filed under the name Apilactobacillus sp. RNAcentral's name for it is "bacterial SSU rRNA". It matches the Rfam family "Bacterial small subunit ribosomal RNA". The record is from RNAcentral. Lineage: Bacteria; Bacillati; Bacillota; Bacilli; Lactobacillales; Lactobacillaceae.